UACGAAGGGGGCGAGCGUUGUUCGGAUUUACUGGGCGUAAAGGGCGCGCAGGCGGCGCAUUUUGUCAGGCGUGAAAGCCCCGGGCUUAACCCUGGGCUUGCAGUGGAUACGGGCAGACUAGAGGCAGGUAGGGGAGAAUGGAAUUCCCGGUGUAGCGGUGAAAUGCGCAGUUAUCGGGAGGAACACCGGUGGCGAAGGCGGUUCUCUGGGCCGAUACUGACGCUGAGGAGCGAAAGCGUGGGGAGCGAACAGG
Molecule: ribosomal RNA, 253 nt
Filed under: uncultured bacterium
Lineage: Bacteria
Description: partial 16S ribosomal RNA
Rfam family: Bacterial small subunit ribosomal RNA
Source: RNAcentral